RNAcentral lists this non-coding RNA (23 nucleotides) under Cricetulus griseus (Chinese hamster). The record is from RNAcentral. Lineage: Eukaryota; Metazoa; Chordata; Mammalia; Rodentia; Cricetidae.
UGGCGCUGUGCAUGAUAGGAAAA